Molecule: non-coding RNA, 96 nt
Organism: Cajanus cajan (pigeon pea)
Lineage: Eukaryota; Viridiplantae; Streptophyta; Magnoliopsida; Fabales; Fabaceae
Source: Rfam
AUGGAUGUGAUGAUUAUUUCCCCAGAUGAUCGACGCUGAACAUAAUGUGCGAUUUUUUUCUCUUAAGAGAAAUCAAGCCAAAUAAAUCUGAUCCAU